UGAGGGAUAUUGCGCAAUGGGGGAAACCCUGACGCAGCGACGCCGCGUGGGUGAUGAAGGCCUUCGGGUCGUAAAACCCUUUUGCCACUGACGAGGAAGGACGGUAGGUGGCGAAUAAGCCUCGGCUAACUACGUGCCAGCAGCCGCGGUAAAACGUGGGUGGCAAGCGUUGUCCGGAAUCACUGGGCGUAAAGGGCGCGUAGGCGGGCUAUUAAGUCAGAUGUGUAAACCCCAGGCUCAACCUGGAGAUUGCAUCUGAUACUGGUAGUCUUGAGUGCAGGAGAGGACAGUGGAAUUCCUAGUGUAGCGGUGAGAUGCGUAGAUAUUAGGAGGAACACCAGUGGCGAAGGCGGCUGUCUGGACUGUAACUGACGCUGAGGCGCGAAAGCGUGGGGAGCAAACA
RNAcentral lists this ribosomal RNA (403 nucleotides) under uncultured bacterium. RNAcentral describes it as "bacterial SSU rRNA". It matches the Rfam family "Bacterial small subunit ribosomal RNA", at positions 355 to 774 of the family's 1533-position model. The record is from RNAcentral.